This 41-nucleotide unclassified non-coding RNA is filed under the name Klebsiella pneumoniae subsp. pneumoniae BJ1-GA. RNAcentral's name for it is "ctRNA_pT181". Lineage: Bacteria; Pseudomonadati; Pseudomonadota; Gammaproteobacteria; Enterobacterales; Enterobacteriaceae. The record is from RNAcentral.
UUUGAACGAUAAUUUUGUAAAGCUGUGAUCUAUAAACCUUU